GAUGAACGCUGGCGGCGUGCUUAACACAUGCAAGUCGAGCGAUGAAGUUUCCUUCGGGAAACGGAUUAGCGGCGGACGGGUGAGUAACACGUGGGUAACCUGCCUCAUAGAGUGGAAUAGCCUUUCGAAAGGAAGAUUAAUACCGCAUAAUGUUGAAAGAUGGCAUCAUCAUUCAACCAAAGGAGCAAUCCGCUAUGAGAUGGACCCGCGGCGCAUUAGCUAGUUGGUGGGGUAACGGCCUACCAAGGCGACGAUGCGUAGCCGACCUGAGAGGGUGAUCGGCCACAUUGGGACUGAGACACGGCCCAGACUCCUACGGGAGGCAGCAGUGGGGAAUAUUGCACAAUGGGGGAAACCCUGAUGCAGCAACGCCGCGUGAGUGAUGAAGGUUUUCGGAUCGUAAAGCUCUGUCUUUGGGGAAGAUAAWKGACGGKWCCMCMMC
RNAcentral lists this ribosomal RNA (442 nucleotides) under uncultured bacterium. Its description in RNAcentral is "bacterial SSU rRNA". It matches the Rfam family "Bacterial small subunit ribosomal RNA", at positions 28 to 484 of the family's 1533-position model. The record is from RNAcentral.